RNAcentral lists this ribosomal RNA (414 nucleotides) under uncultured bacterium. RNAcentral's name for it is "bacterial SSU rRNA". It matches the Rfam family "Bacterial small subunit ribosomal RNA", at positions 107 to 518 of the family's 1533-position model. The record is from RNAcentral.
UGAGUAACGCGUAUCCAACCCUCCCAUAGUAGAGGAUAGGCCCGGCGAAAGUCGGAUUAAUACUCUAUGUUGUAUUUUUGAGGACAUCUGACGAAUACCAAAGAUUGAUCGCUAUGGGAUGGGGAUGCGUCUGAUUAGGUUGUUGGCGGGGUAACGGCCCACCAAGCCGACGAUCAGUAGGGGUUCUGAGAGGAAGGUCCCCCACAUUGGUACUGAGACACGGACCAAACUCCUACGGGAGGCAGCAGUGAGGAAUAUUGGUCAAUGGACGAGAGUCUGAACCAGCCAAGUAGCGUGCAGGACGACUGCCCUAUGGGUUGUAAACUGCUUUUAUAGGGGAAUAAAGUCCACUACGUGUAGUGGUUUGUAUGUACCCUAUGAAUAAGGACCGGCUAAUUCCGUGCCAGCCGCUGC